GGAUUAGAUACCCUAGUAGUCCACGCUGUAAACGAUGGAUACUAGAGUUGGCGGGAAUUGACCCCUGCCGACUCGGAGCUAACGCGAUAAGUAUCCCGCCUGGGGAGUACGGUCGCAAGACUAAAACUCAAAGGAAUUGACGGGGGCCCGCACAAGCGGUGGAUUAUGUGGUUUAAUUCGAAGCAACGCGCAGAACCUUACCUAGGUUUGACAUCCUUUGACAACUACAGAGAUGUAGCUUUUGUAGCAAUACAACAAAGUGACAGGUGCUGCAUGGCUGUCGUCAGCUCGUGCCG
Molecule: ribosomal RNA, 296 nt
Filed under: uncultured bacterium
Lineage: Bacteria
Description: partial 16S ribosomal RNA
Rfam family: Bacterial small subunit ribosomal RNA
Source: RNAcentral